ACUAAGCGUACACGGUGGAUGCCCUGGCAGUCAGAGGCGAUGAAGGACGUGCUAAUCUGCGAUAAGCGUCGGUGAGGUGAUAUGAACCGUUAUAACCGGCGAUUUCCGAAUGGGGAAACCCAGUGUGUUUCGACACACUAUCAUUAACUGAAUCCAUAGGUUAAUGAGGCGAACCGGGGGAACUGAAACAUCUAAGUACCCCGAGGAAAAGAAAUCAACCGAGAUUCCCCCAGUAGCGGCGAGCGAACGGGGAGGAGCCCAGAGCCUGAAUCAGUGUGUGUGUUAGUGGAAGCGUCUGGAAAGGCGCGCGAUACAGGGUGACAGCCCCGUACACAAAAAUGCACAUAUUGUGAGCUCGAUGAGUAGGGCGGGACACGUGGUAUCCUGUCUGAAUAUGGGGGGACCAUCCUCCAAGGCUAAAUACUCCUGACUGACCGAUAGUGAACCAGUACCGUGAGGGAAAGGCGAAAAGAACCCCGGCGAGGGGAGUGAAAAAGAACCUGAAACCGUGUACGUACAAGCAGUGGGAGCCUCUUAAUGGGGUGACUGCGUACCUUUUGUAUAAUGGGUCAGCGACUUAUAUUCUGUAGCAAGGUUAACCGAAUAGGGGAGCCGAAGGGAAACCGAGUCUUAACUGGGCGUUAAGUUGCAGGGUAUAGACCCGAAACCCGGUGAUCUAGCCAUGGGCAGGUUGAAGGUUGGGUAACACUAACUGGAGGACCGAACCGACUAAUGUUGAAAAAUUAGCGGAUGACUUGUGGCUGGGGGUGAAAGGCCAAUCAAACCGGGAGAUAGCUGGUUCUCCCCGAAAGCUAUUUAGGUAGCGCCUCGUGAAUUCAUCUCCGGGGGUAGAGCACUGUUUCGGCAAGGGGGUCAUCCCGACUUACCAACCCGAUGCAAACUGCGAAUACCGGAGAAUGUUAUCACGGGAGACACACGGCGGGUGCUAACGUCCGUCGUGAAGAGGGAAACAACCCAGACCGCCAGCUAAGGUCCCAAAGUCAUGGUUAAGUGGGAAACGAUGUGGGAAGGCCCAGACAGCCAGGAUGUUGGCUUAGAAGCAGCCAUCAUUUAAAGAAAGCGUAAUAGCUCACUGGUCGAGUCGGCCUGCGCGGAAGAUGUAACGGGGCUAAACCAUGCACCGAAGCUGCGGCAGCGACACUGUGUGUUGUUGGGUAGGGGAGCGUUCUGUAAGCCUGUGAAGGUGGCCUGUGAGGGUUGCUGGAGGUAUCAGAAGUGCGAAUGCUGACAUAAGUAACGAUAAAGCGGGUGAAAAGCCCGCUCGCCGGAAGACCAAGGGUUCCUGUCCAACGUUAAUCGGGGCAGGGUGAGUCGACCCCUAAGGCGAGGCCGAAAGGCGUAGUCGAUGGGAAACAGGUUAAUAUUCCUGUACUUGGUGUUACUGCGAAGGGGGGACGGAGAAGGCUAUGUUGGCCGGGCGACGGUUGUCCCGGUUUAAGCGUGUAGGCUGGUUUUCCAGGCAAAUCCGGAAAACCAAGGCUGAGGCGUGAUGACGAGGCACUACGGUGCUGAAGCGACAAAUGCCCUGCUUCCAGGAAAAGCCUCUAAGCAUCAGGUAACAUCAAAUCGUACCCCAAACCGACACAGGUGGUCAGGUAGAGAAUACCAAGGCGCUUGAGAGAACUCGGGUGAAGGAACUAGGCAAAAUGGUGCCGUAACUUCGGGAGAAGGCACGCUGAUAUGUAGGUGAAGCGACUUGCUCGUGGAGCUGAAAUCAGUCGAAGAUACCAGCUGGCUGCAACUGUUUAUUAAAAACACAGCACUGUGCAAACACGAAAGUGGACGUAUACGGUGUGACGCCUGCCCGGUGCCGGAAGGUUAAUUGAUGGGGUUAGCGGUAACGCGAAGCUCUUGAUCGAAGCCCCGGUAAACGGCGGCCGUAACUAUAACGGUCCUAAGGUAGCGAAAUUCCUUGUCGGGUAAGUUCCGACCUGCACGAAUGGCGUAAUGAUGGCCAGGCUGUCUCCACCCGAGACUCAGUGAAAUUGAACUCGCUGUGAAGAUGCAGUGUACCCGCGGCAAGACGGAAAGACCCCGUGAACCUUUACUAUAGCUUGACACUGAACAUUGAGCCUUGAUGUGUAGGAUAGGUGGGAGGCUUUGAAGUGUGGACGCCAGUCUGCAUGGAGCCGACCUUGAAAUACCACCCUUUAAUGUUUGAUGUUCUAACGUGGGCCCCUAAUCGGGGUUGCGGACAGUGUCUGGUGGGUAGUUUGACUGGGGCGGUCUCCUCCUAAAGAGUAACGGAGGAGCACGAAGGUUGGCUAAUCCUGGUCGGACAUCAGGAGGUUAGUGCAAUGGCAUAAGCCAGCUUGACUGCGAGCGUGACGGCGCGAGCAGGUGCGAAAGCAGGUCAUAGUGAUCCGGUGGUUCUGAAUGGAAGGGCCAUCGCUCAACGGAUAAAAGGUACUCCGGGGAUAACAGGCUGAUACCGCCCAAGAGUUCAUAUCGACGGCGGUGUUUGGCACCUCGAUGUCGGCUCAUCACAUCCUGGGGCUGAAGUAGGUCCCAAGGGUAUGGCUGUUCGCCAUUUAAAGUGGUACGCGAGCUGGGUUUAGAACGUCGUGAGACAGUUCGGUCCCUAUCUGCCGUGGGCGCUGGAGAACUGAGGGGGGCUGCUCCUAGUACGAGAGGACCGGAGUGGACGCAUCACUGGUGUUCGGGUUGUCAUGCCAAUGGCACUGCCCGGUAGCUAAAUGCGGAAGAGAUAAGUGCUGAAAGCAUCUAAGCACGAAACUUGCCCCGAGAUGAGUUCUCCCUGAGACUUAGAGUCUCCUGAAGGAACGUUGAAGACGACGACGUUGAUAGGCCGGGUGUGUAAGCGCAGCGAUGCGUUGAGCUAACCGGUACUAAUGAACCGUGAGGCUUAACC
RNAcentral lists this ribosomal RNA (2893 nucleotides) under Escherichia coli. RNAcentral describes it as "bacterial LSU rRNA". It matches the Rfam family "Bacterial large subunit ribosomal RNA". Lineage: Bacteria; Pseudomonadati; Pseudomonadota; Gammaproteobacteria; Enterobacterales; Enterobacteriaceae. The record is from RNAcentral.